RNAcentral lists this ribosomal RNA (409 nucleotides) under Pristimantis koehleri. RNAcentral describes it as "partial large subunit ribosomal RNA". It matches the Rfam family "Bacterial large subunit ribosomal RNA", at positions 1836 to 2457 of the family's 2925-position model. Lineage: Eukaryota; Metazoa; Chordata; Amphibia; Anura; Strabomantidae. The record is from RNAcentral.
CUUGCCACUAUAAGAGGUCCAGCCUGCCCAGUGACCUAGUUCAACGGCCGCGGUAUCCUAACCGUGCGAAGGUAGCGUAAUCACUUGUCUUCUAAAUAAAGACUAGUAUGAAAGGCAUCACGAGAACUUAACUGUCUCCUUUUUCUAAUCAGUGAAACUAAUCUCCCCGUGAAGAAGCUGGGAUCCUCAAAUUAGACGAGAAGACCCUAUGGAGCUUUAAACACUAACCACUUGCUCACACCAUUAAUUACCCCGGUUUCUGAAUCAACGCAAUAUGAUUACGUGUUUUUGGUUGGGGUGACCGCGGAAAAUAACUAAACCUCCACAAUGACAACCAUCCAAACUAUAAGCUACAGCUUUAAGCAUCAACAAAUUGACAUCCAUUGACCCAAUAUAUUGAUUAAUGAAC